AAAGGAAAAGCAAGAUGCCCUUAUGAAUUACAUCAAUAGAUAUAAUAAACUCCCAAACCUCAGUACUGUAGUCAUCAUUCAGUGGGUUAUGUAUUUAUUUAUUUUGAUGCUGGGAAUCGAACUCAGGACUUCGCACUUGCCAGGCAGGUGCAGCGCCACUGAGCUAAAUCCCCGGCCCAGGGUUUGAAUUAUAGGGUGACUAGUUGGUAAUCUUGUAAAUUUUUUUCUAAAGUUAUAUGUAUGACAUGGUUUAUUUUUUUAUUUUAUUUUUAUUUUUUGGUACCGGGGAUUGAACUCUCAGGACCUUGCACUUGUGCGGCAGGCACCGGAACCACUGAGCUAAAUCCCUGGCCCUGUAUGACACGGUAUUUGUGACAAUCCAUUUCUCUUGUGUAUUUUAUUCCUUGUCAGAUCUGCCUUCUCCCAACUCCUUCUUCCCCCCCGCAAAAAUAUAUAUAUCUUUGUAAGCUCUAUCAAGAGCAAAUAAUUUUGGUUAAUUUAGAAGUGAAGCUUAAAUCAUGUUCAUGAUACGGACUUGCUAGGUGUGUACAGCUACUGCAAAUUAUUUUAGAAGUAGGUGGGAUUUAAAUGAUAAAGAUAGUAAACCAAGUGCUUUACACAGAUAAAUUCCUUUAACAAAUACUCUGUUAGUACUUCACUUUUAGAUGGUGAAAUAGGCUCAGAGAGGUUGAUUCAUUUGCUCAAGAUGACACAGUUAAGAAAUAAUGGAACUGCUGCUCCAGCAUCCAGACUUCUAGAUCAUUAGCCCUGCAGCAGCAGCAAACUGGUGAAAAUAAGGACGCUGUGGUAUUCCAGGUGUAGACACCACCUUUAAAGAGUUCAGUCUUCCUGAGAUACAAACACGGGGAGCACCUGGAUGGCUUCCCCUGGCCUAGCAGCUGCCACAGGACACCUUGCUAAUGGGUCACAAGGAGCUUUUCCUGCUGACCAGGUCCCACCUCUACUUCCCGCAGUGUCCUACGUCCUACGCCAGUGCUGUCCAGGAGAAAAUGCUGUGGUGAUGACAAUGUCCAGUGUCGGUGCACUGAAUCCUGGGAAUGUGGCCAGUCAACUGAGAGCCUGAGAUUUUAAUUUUACUUUUAUGUAAAAAUUCAAUAGCAAAUGUGGCUAAUGGCUAAGAUACUGGACAGUGAGUUUCUAGGCAGCCACUGCAAUUGAUCAGAACUGUUUUCUAGGAAUAAAAUCCAGUUUCCUUUCCAGAAAGACUAAGCACAAAGAUAAAAACAAAAAAAAAGAGAGGGAUCUUUUGCAAGUGAGGGGACCAGGAGAGGGAGGAAUGGGGUGGGACAGGGGACGAAAAAAGGUUUGAGAUGUGUUAAGAACAUGCACCAACUCUCUACCAUUAAUGGAAUAAUUAUGUACUGGAAAUGUGUGCUAAUAAAAGUUAAAAAAUGUAAAAA
This is a non-coding RNA of Heterocephalus glaber (naked mole-rat), 1421 nucleotides long. The record is from RefSeq and is a predicted model, not a curated record. NCBI's taxonomy places the organism in Eukaryota, Metazoa, Chordata, Mammalia, Rodentia, Bathyergidae.